CCAGCUGGAGCGCACCUCUUUGUCCACCAUUGUUUUUCAUGUAUACACCUACAGCACUAAUAUUCAAUGACCAGAGGACCUGCUCUGGAUUAUUAAGAAGACAUCGAGUUUUGUAGUGUUAGAACAGUCUGACACCAGGGUUACUUGUAUGAUCCAGAGUGCAGCCCAGAUGAGUUACAGUACUCCGAAUGAAGGAAGCGGUCACAGCUAAAAGACUAGGCAGCUGACAGCAGCGAGAUCCAACCAUGGGGCAUCUUACAGUAGCUGUGUGCAGGAGACUGCUGGUGGUCUGCACCACACGCCGAUGUGAAGAACUGAAUCGCCCUCUGCAGAACUUCACCACUGCUGAUUUCGUUUGGAUGAAGGUGUGGAUUCUAAUGCUGACGACACAGCACCUUCAGCAUUUUCAGAAAUCAGCACAGAAUGCAAGGAGUCCUCCCUGCAAAACCUGAACAACCACCCACCAUCAUCCACUCACUGAAGGGGACACAUCCCAGUUACCCACAUGCAAGGAGGUUGUCAAACAGAGAAAUCACUGCAGACUGUUGGUACACAGACAUCUGCUGCCUAGCUCAGGAGUGAAGUACCUUUUGUUUUGAUGAGGUGAUGGUGAGGACAGCCACAGCUUCCAUCUGGUAGAGGACUGCUUCUGCUCAGUCUUCCAAAUAGUGAUGAGAACAAGGAUCACAACAUCUCCCUGGUGAUCUAUUUACAACUAUACCUGUCCUGCUGCAGAAACAAAUCUCCAACAUAACCAAGUUUACCACGUACGCAGGACAUGGACUGUUUACCCUACUUCCAUCAAGCAUUUCAUCUGCAAGGCUCUGCAAAAGCUUUUGUCCUCAAACCCCCAGACUUCUUAAUUCACUCAGUAACCUAUACAUUGCACAUUGGAGUUUGAAGAUAACAGUGUGUUCCAGCUUUGGAGUAGUGGUGCAGUUUUUGGUUGACAAUAAAGUGAAAAGCUUUAACUAUUAAAUAUUUCACUAAACUCUGUUUUUAUGAGGGGGAAAAGGCAUUUAUUCAGGAAAAUCAUAGUAUUGAAAUUACAUGUUUUUCUCUUUCUAAUAUGGUAAGCUAUAAAAGGUGAACCGUCCAUAGGAGAAAAGCAUGUGUAAUUAUAAAUUAAAAAUUCAAUUGUUUAAAAAGAUGAAUUUUAAUGAGUAUUGCACACACAUAAAACACAUUACUACUCAAAUGGUAAAUGAGUUAUUCCACAGGUGGUUUAAAUCCAACAUACAGUGAGUGUUUUACCCAUCAGGUAACUCUGCCUUGAUCUACAACCCACGCAUGAAGAGAUGGCAACUCAGAUUCCUCACUCCAGAAAUCCCCAGCACCAGCUCACUAGCCUCUGUAGACUAGAUACCUGUAACAACUUCAGAUACAGAGACAUAUUACUGUCAGGUUUAUCAAGAAUGAUCAAAAAACAUUACUAAAAAACAUAACCAAAAGCAGUAAAAAUACGUUAGAUCAAUAUAUAAUUUGAACCAAUGCUUUUUGUUCCCAGGUAGGUCAUGCAAUGAUUGCUCUGAAUAUUAAUGCACAUUUUUUUUAAAUAUGUCAGAGCAGCAGUACAAGCAAGACAAAAACAGUGUAAAUUGUAUAUAUAUUGUUUUAGCUAUGCUCUCAAACUUUUAUUUAUUUGUAUAAUGUAAGCUAAAGCAGUGUUUUCUAUUAACAAGAGUUUUCCAGGUAAGUCACGUUGUGAAUAUUCAAGCUACACAGGCCAUGUAGCAAGCCUAAGCAUUAGCAACCGCUAGUCGCUUUGCAAAUUACAUAAAAGCCAAUUUAAAAAAAAACAAAAAAGGUAUGCGCUUCCGCAGAGGUGUGGUGAGCAGCUGCGCUCGGACACGCCCAGAAAACAGAGCUUUUACUGAUGGGAAGUGAAAACCACACAUUGACAGUGGCAGUGUGGAUGAUCUAAAGGGUUUUAUGCAAUGAAAUGAAAUGAGACCUUACUGAGACAUUGAAGGCCAACAUUCUUUAGAGUGAAAAGCUGUAUGAUCAGGGAAGUUUAACCUUUGUUCUAAUCCGAACCAAACCUCAAUUCUAACCUUAGCCCUAAAAUAACAUCUUGACCCUCAAAAAGGCCUUUAAAGUUGUGGGGCCCAGCCAAAGUGAACAUAGGGCCCCACUUUGGUAGGAAAAAAAAGGAUUUUGGGCCCCACUCCGAUGUAACCGCAAGGACACACACACACACACACACACACACACACACACACACACACACACACACACACAGUAUCGUCCACACUUCCAUAAAUAUUCAUCUCAAAUAUCAAUUAAAAUGCUGAAGAAUAGAAUAAAUAACUAAAAGCAUUAUUUUUAAAUGCAAUAUUUGUACAUUUAGUUUUAAUGUUUGUUUGUUUGUUUUCAUUGACUUUACUGAAAAAAUGGGAAAAUAAAGGGAAAGAAAUUGUGUAAUUUUUGUCUGACUCGCAUUCAAAGCCCGUGUGCAGGCGUAUGUGUCACUCAGUGAAUGUUUUGACUCUUGACCCAUGUUUUUUAAUUGGACUUCUCCCCCAGAGUUAUAUGUAAAAAACAAAAAAAAAACAUUUCUGACAUUACCACGAUUUAUCAAAUUAUUGAUGACAUGUGAUUUCAUGUUUAUAAAAAAUACUUUGUUUCACAAGAACCUUAAUUGU
Molecule: long non-coding RNA, 2645 nt
Organism: Betta splendens (Siamese fighting fish)
Lineage: Eukaryota; Metazoa; Chordata; Actinopteri; Anabantiformes; Osphronemidae
Exons: 4
Source: RefSeq, a predicted model, not a curated record